AAUCUUCGGCAAUGGGCGAAAGCCUGACCGAGCGACGCCGCGUGAAGGAUGAAGGCCCUCGGGUCGUAAACUUCUAAAAGAGGGACGAUAAUGACGGUACCUCUUGAAAAGCACCGGCUAACUCCGUGCCAGCAGCCGCGAUAAUACGGAGGGUGCAAGCGUUAUCCGGAAGCACUGGGCGUAAAGGGCGCGUAGGCGGCCUGUUAAGUCCGAUGUUAAAGACUGGGGCUCAACCCCAGCAUUGCGUUGGAUACUGGCAGGCUUGACGGUUGGAGAGGCGAGUGGAAUUACCAGUGUAGCGGUGAAAUGCGUAGAUACUGGUAGGAACACCCAUUGCGAAGGCAGCUCGCUGGACAACACGUGACGCUGAGGCGCGAAAGUGUGGGGAGCAAACC
RNAcentral lists this ribosomal RNA (395 nucleotides) under uncultured bacterium. RNAcentral's name for it is "partial 16S ribosomal RNA". It matches the Rfam family "Bacterial small subunit ribosomal RNA", at positions 360 to 774 of the family's 1533-position model. The record is from RNAcentral.